GACGAACGCUGGCGGCGUGCUUAACACAUGCAAGUCGAACGAAGAGCGAUGGACGCUUGCUUCUAUCACUCUUAGUGGCGAACGGGUGAGUAACGCGUAAUCAACCUGCCCUUCAGAGGGGGACAACAGUUGGAAACGACUGCUAAUACCGCAUACGAUCUAAUCUCGGCAUCGAGGAAAGAUGAAAGGUGGCCUCUAUUUAUAAGCUAUCACUGAAGGAGGGGAUUGCGUCUGAUUAGCUAGUUGGAGGGGUAACGGCCCACCAAGGCGAUGAUCAGUAGCCGGUCUGAGAGGAUGAACGGCCACAUUGGGACUGAGACACGGCCCAGACUCCUACGGGAGGCAGCAGUGGGGAAUCUUCCGCAAUGGACGAAAGUCUGACGGAGCAACGCCGCGUGAGUGAUGACGGCCUUCGGGUUGUAAAGCUCUGUUAAUCGGGACGAAAGGCCUUCUUGCGAACAGUUAGAAGGAUUGACGGUACCGGAAUAGAAAGCCACGGCUAACUACGUG
RNAcentral lists this ribosomal RNA (510 nucleotides) under uncultured bacterium. RNAcentral's name for it is "partial 16S ribosomal RNA". It matches the Rfam family "Bacterial small subunit ribosomal RNA", at positions 28 to 507 of the family's 1533-position model. The record is from RNAcentral.